RNAcentral lists this ribosomal RNA (468 nucleotides) under uncultured bacterium. RNAcentral describes it as "partial 16S ribosomal RNA". The stretch from base 58 to 468 matches the Rfam family "Bacterial small subunit ribosomal RNA", at positions 39 to 507 of the family's 1533-position model. The record is from RNAcentral.
GGGGGGGGGGGGGGGGGGGCUGGGGGGGGGCGGGGCGGGCGGAGGGGGCCGGCGGGGGUGGGGUGCUCGAGUGGCGAACGGGUGAGUAACGCGUGAGUAACCUGCCCUUGACUUUGGGAUAACUUCAGGAAACUGGGGCUAAUACCGGAUAGGAGCUCCUGCUGCAUGGUGGGGGUUGGAAAGUUUCGGCGGUUGGGGAUGGACUCGCGGCUUAUCAGCUUGUUGGUGGGGUAGUGGCUUACCAAGGCUUUGACGGGGAGCCGGCCUGAGAGGGUGACCGGCCACGUUGGGACUGAGAUACGGCCCAGACUCCUACGGGAGGCAGCAGUGGGGAAUAUUGCACAAUGGGCGGAAGCCUGAUGCAGCAACGCCGCGUGCGGGAUGACGGCCUUCGGGUUGUAAACCGCUUUCGCCUGUGACGAAGCGUGAGUGACGGUAAUGGGUAAAGAAGCACCGGCUAACUACGUG